RNAcentral lists this ribosomal RNA (520 nucleotides) under bacterium enrichment culture clone ALO1_GLFRUDD03GSL3W. RNAcentral describes it as "bacterial SSU rRNA". It matches the Rfam family "Bacterial small subunit ribosomal RNA", at positions 9 to 520 of the family's 1533-position model. The record is from RNAcentral.
GAGUUUGAUCUUGGCUCAGAUUGAACGCUGGCGGCAGGCCUAACACAUGCAAGUCGAGCGGAUGACGGGAGCUUGCUCCUUGAUUCAGCGGCGGACGGGUGAGUAAUGCCUAGGAAUCUGCCUGGUAGUGGGGGACAACGUUUCGAAAGGAACGCUAAUACCGCAUACGUCCUACGGGAGAAAGCAGGGGACCUUCGGGCCUUGCGCUAUCAGAUGAGCCUAGGUCGGAUUAGCUAGUUGGUGGGGUAAUGGCUCACCAAGGCGACGAUCCGUAACUGGUCUGAGAGGAUGAUCAGUCACACUGGAACUGAGACACGGUCCAGACUCCUACGGGAGGCAGCAGUGGGGAAUAUUGGACAAUGGGCGAAAGCCUGAUCCAGCCAUGCCGCGUGUGUGAAGAAGGUCUUCGGAUUGUAAAAGCGACUUUUAAGUUGGGAGGAAGGGCAGUAAGUUAAUACCUUGCUGUUUUGACGUUACCGACAGAAUAAGCACCGGCUAACUCUGUGCCAGCCGCCGACCG